Long non-coding RNA from Falco peregrinus (peregrine falcon), 2109 nucleotides. RefSeq lists it as uncharacterized. The record is from RefSeq and is a predicted model, not a curated record. Lineage: Eukaryota; Metazoa; Chordata; Aves; Falconiformes; Falconidae. The transcript is spliced from 2 exons.
CCUCGGCAGCGCCGGGGCCGCCGCGGCGGGGGCUGCGCGAGGCGUUCGGGCCGGUUGUGCCACAAAAUGGCACCUGCCGGUGGUGCCCGCGGUUCGGUUCUCGGCGCGAAGCGCGGUCGCGUACCGGAGGGCGGAGGGCGGGUGAGCUACCGUGCGACAGUGAUGGCAGCUGAGCAGUGACACGGCAACAGGCAUCUGAUACAGUCAUGUAGAUCCGAGAAUGUUUUCUCUGACCCGGGAGCCUAGGUGUGCUCCUGUGAUGAUGUUUCCACGUGUGGGAAAAGCCCCGGGACACUCCGUUACAGGCCAUAUUACAACCUGACCUGCUUCUCCAUGUUGCCAGGGCUGGUAUCUUUUUCCACAUCUGUGAUGUUUUAAGGCUUAAAUCGUGCACAGUUCCUGGCUUGCUUGCACUCCCCACAGCCUUUCCUUUGGUGGUGACAUGCUUUCCUCAACUCUUGCCAUCAGAAACAGAUCACAGACAGUCCCUGCUCCUUUAGGAGAAGCCUAUCUACUUCCAUUGAAACAGUCUGGCAAUCCUUAGUUAACCCAUAUUUACUACAUGUUGUAAUUCUGGCAGUCUACCAAGCAUCGCCUCUUUGACAUUUGGCUGCAUCUCAUACGCACCUUUUUAAGGACAGAUUCUCAGCUCUUCUCACCACUCCCUUUUUGGGCAUUGCUACCUUCAGCACUCCCCAAAUAAGCCUUUCCUACUCAGCAAGCUGACCACUGUUCUAUUGUUUCCCCCCCUUGCUUUCCUCUUCAACUUCUUUUAUGUCACCCCUGCAAAUCUUAAAAAUUAACCCUUUACUUGUCGGUCCCAUUGCUACUUAUCUAUGUCUCAGUCAUUCCCAAUUACCCUCAGAAAUCUAAGGGAAGACUCCACAGAGGAGGUUGCCCAGACACUUGAAUAUCAGUACAACGAAAUGUGUAGGAGGUUAUGAAAGGCGGGUGGCCAACCAGUUCCCAAUGCAGCAAAGCCAGAGAAGCUUUUAAGAAUCAGGGAUACAGGAAGGGAGAAUGCAUUUUUAAUGACCUGUGGGAUCUGCUUCUUUCUUCAUUCCUUCUGUUAGGUCUGGAAGACAGGAACAGGAGGAACUCUGAUGUACACACCUGCUGCCUCCUCAGAGGAGCCUCUUUGAGGAAGGAAAACAACAGUUGUCAAAGAUGAGAGAAUAAAGCACAUAGGAAAGUGCUUUGCCAGCCUGACUUACAUGGGUCAGGACUGCAGCAUAGGAGAGUCUUCUGCUGCAUGAGCCUGAAUAGGAGCUAGCAACAUUUUACUGGCACUAGUACUCUCUGACUUCUUUUCCUUGGAACUGGGAAGGUUCUGGCCUGAACAAUGCCAACCACUAAGUUACCCACUGUAACUUACUAAAAGGUUGCUGUAAAGUGCAGAGCUCCUCUCACAAGAAAUUAUGGGAGUGCCCUGGCCACAGACAGAAUUCUUUCACGCUCUUACAAAUAACGGCUGACUUAUGUAUUCUUCCUAUAUCUUGGUGAACAUUCAAAUAUUUAGGUCUGUCUCCACAAUUUGCUAAUGUUUGUUGUCCACCUUUUCAUCAGUUGUGUUUCUGUUGCAUCUCACUUCCAUAUGACUGUUUCUGCAUGUAAUGAAACAUGAAAUUUGGGUAGGAGGGAAAGUGCUCAAGAACAAUUCACCCAGUAGCUUGCUUGCUUUGUUUUUUUGUGGGUUGGUUUUUUUUUUUUUUGUGGGUUUUUUUUAGAGAAGCAGACCUGUGUUUCAUCUGCCACAUAUUUAUCCUACCAUCACAGUGUUCAGAAGUGAUAGGAAAGGGAAACAACCAGAUUUUAUUUCAGUUCCAGUUGCUGGUGACUGUCUCUCAACACCUUGUAGAACUGGAGAUGAAUACACCUGGCAGAACUGGAGAUGAAUGGAAAACAGCGGAGAUGAGCAGGCUCACAAGUAAAAUACAAACUGGGGCUCACCAAGGGCAGAAGUCAGAAGGCCACCUUAAAUUUGAAACAAUGUAUUUGUUGCAUCAUACAGGAUAAGAUAACUUUGUUUCAGCAGUAGAUGGAUUUAUUUACCUCACAUAUGUCAAUGUAGUUUAGCAAUAAAAGGUACCCAAUCAUCUUGUACAGAUA